GUCUUCAUGGAAUAGCUUAGAAGGGGCCUGAGACAUGAAAGGGAAUUAUAUUUAGCAAUACAAAUGCUACAAAACCUUCUUUACUCUCAAACUGUGGAGAGGAUUUGGUAUGUCCACGCAAGAGUUGGCAACUGUCUGCUGAAAUGAGAUCCUCAACUGGGAUGCUGGGAGUCUUGGAGUUGAGCUAUACUUUUGCUUCCCCAAUCUACACAGAGGUUUUCUGCUGGAGCAGAGACUGAUAAGUGAAGAUUGGAGCUGAGACCAAGUCUUGAGUGUGACAUCCAAGAAGAUCCUUCCUAAGUUUAUUGCCCAACUAAGUGUGUUCUGGAAGCAACUCAAUUUGGUCAAACUGGAGCCAAGGUGUAGCGGUCUUAUGCUGGAAAUACAUGGCAGCCAAGUAUCAUGUUAUGCUGCAACACGGCUGAGCAGGAGAGAUCAUGUGAGACAUUUGGAAUACAGGAAGAUGUUUUUUCAGCUACUGUUCAAAGUCAAUAUAUAAGAAAAGCUGACACUAAGCAACUACAAAUAUAAUAGCCCUGUGAAUUCUACAACUGUAGUUAUGUGUAUUUGUGGGACAGAAUCAACUGAGUUUUAGGGUAAAGUCAUUGAUGACAAGUGGCAGAAAUUCAGCUUUCUGUGAAAGUAAUUUCAAUCUCUUCUGCUAAACAUAAGCCUUCAUCGUCAGACUGUCUGUACUGAC
Long non-coding RNA from Callithrix jacchus (white-tufted-ear marmoset), 700 nucleotides. RefSeq lists it as uncharacterized. NCBI's taxonomy places the organism in Eukaryota, Metazoa, Chordata, Mammalia, Primates, Cebidae. The record is from RefSeq and is a predicted model, not a curated record.